Molecule: ribosomal RNA, 441 nt
Filed under: uncultured bacterium
Lineage: Bacteria
Description: bacterial SSU rRNA
Rfam family: Bacterial small subunit ribosomal RNA
Source: RNAcentral
AACGCGAAGAACCUUACCAAGGCUUGACAUACACCGGAAAGCAUUAGAGAUAGUGCCCCCCUUGUGGUCGGUGUACAGGUGGUGCAUGGCUGUCGUCAGCUCGUGUCGUGAGAUGUUGGGUUAAGUCCCGCAACGAGCGCAACCCUUGUUCUGUGUUGCCAGCAUGCCCUUCGGGGUGAUGGGGACUCACAGGAGACUGCCGGGGUCAACUCGGAGGAAGGUGGGGACGACGUCAAGUCAUCAUGCCCCUUAUGUCUUGGGCUGCACACGUGCUACAAUGGCAGGUACAAAGAGCUGCGAAGCCGUGAGGCGGAGCGAAUCUCAAAAAGCCUGUCUCAGUUCGGAUUGGGGUCUGCAACUCGACCCCAUGAAGUCGGAGUUGCUAGUAAUCGCAGAUCAGCAUUGCUGCGGUGAAUACGUUCCCGGGCCUUGUACACACCG